UACGGAGGGUGCAAGCGUUAUCCGGAUUUACUGGGUUUAAAGGGUGCGUAGGUGGAACUUUAAGUCAGUGGUGAAAUGUCAGUGCUUAACACUGAGACUGCCAUUGAUACUAUCGUUCUUGAAUUAUGUUGAGGUAUGCGGAAUACAACAUGUAGCGGUGAAAUGCAUAGAUAUGUUGUAGAACCCCGAUUGCGAAGGCAGCAUGCUAAACAAGGAUUGACACUGAAGCACGAAAGCGUGGGGAGAGAAC
This 250-nucleotide ribosomal RNA is filed under the name uncultured bacterium. RNAcentral describes it as "partial 16S ribosomal RNA". It matches the Rfam family "Bacterial small subunit ribosomal RNA", at positions 524 to 773 of the family's 1533-position model. The record is from RNAcentral.